RNAcentral lists this ribosomal RNA (1438 nucleotides) under Aphelenchoides fujianensis. RNAcentral describes it as "SSU rRNA". It matches the Rfam family "Eukaryotic small subunit ribosomal RNA", at positions 197 to 1670 of the family's 1831-position model. Lineage: Eukaryota; Metazoa; Nematoda; Chromadorea; Rhabditida; Aphelenchoididae. The record is from RNAcentral.
CGCUGUGCUAUUAUUGGAGCAAAACUAUUCGUUAGUCCUUUUGCUAACUCUGGAUAAUACUGCGUAUCGCAUGACCUCGUGUCGGCGAAGUUUCAUUCGAGUAUCUGCCCUAUCAACUUGCUGGCAGUGUAUUGGACUGCCAUGGUUCUAACGGGUAACGGAGGAUCAGGGUCUGACUCCGGAGAGGGAGCCUUAGAAACGGCUACCAUGUCUAAGGAUAGCAGCAGGCGCGAAAAUUACCCAAUAUCAAUACGAUGAGGUAGUGACGAGAAAUAACGAGUCCGUUCUCUCUGAGGUCGGACAUUGGAAUGGGUACAAUCUAGACAAUUUAACGAGUAUCUACGAGAGGGCAAGUCUGGUGCCAGCAGCCGCGGUAAUUCCAGCUCUCGUAAUACAUAGAAUUAUUGUUGCGGUUAAAAAGUUCGUAGUUGAUCAGCGAACCGUUCGGGGUGCAUCCUAACGGGUGUCACUCGUCGGACGGUAUUUUGCGCGUUUGUGUGCGGUCGCCCUCGCGGUGGCUCGUAUGCUGCGUGCAGGAUUACUUUGAACGGCUUAAGUGCUCAAGGCGGGUCUUAGGACCGAAUACCGGUGCAUGGAAUAAUGGAACAAGGUUGCGGCCGAGUUUUAUUGGUUUUGUCGGCUGAAACAAUGGUUAACAGGAACAGCCGGGGGCAUUCGUAUCGCUGCGCGAGAGGUGAAAUUCGGGGACCGUAGCGAGACGCACUAAAGCGAAGGCAUUUGCCAAGAGUGUUUUCAUUAAUCAAGAACGAAAGUGAGAGGUUCGAAGGCGAUUAGAUACCGCCCUAGUUCUCACCGUAAAUGAUGCCAACUGCCAAUCCGCUGGUGGAUUUAAUUCACGAGCGGGCGGGUUUCCGGAAACGAAAGUCUUUCGGUUCCGGGGGAAGUAUGGUUGCAAAGCUGAAACUUAAAGGAAUUGACGGAAGGGCACCACCAGGAGUGGAGCUUGCGGGCUUAAUUUGACUCAACACGGGAAACCUCACCCGGCCAGCAUCAUCGUAGGAUUGACAGGACCGAUUAGCUCUUUCAUGAUUCGUUGGAUGGUGGUGCAUGGCCGUUCUUAGUUCGUGCUAAAUUGAAGUGUCUGCUUUAUUGCGAUAACGAGCGAGACGCCAACUGUUAACUAGUGCGUUGAUUGGUUCGCUUGUCAACGAUCGACUUCUUAACGGGAUUUGUGGUUACUAGCCUCAAGAAAUGUCGCAAUAACAGGUCUGUGAUGCCCUUAGAUGUUCGGGGCCGCACGCGUGCUACAAUGGUGGUAUCNNNGUGCUUGUCNUACUCCGAAAGGAGAUGGCAAACAGUUGAGAUAUUAUUAUGGCUGGAAGUUGAGUGUUGAAAUUUUCACUCAUGAACGAGGAAUUCCAAGUAAAUGCGAGUCAUCAACUCGCAUNGAUAACGUCCCUGCCCUAUUGUACACACC